CACGUAGGGCGCAAGCGUUGUCCGGAAUUAUUGGGCGUAAAGAGCUCGUAGGCGGUCUGUUGCGUCUGCUGUGAAAACUCGGGGCUUAACCCCGAGCCUGCAGUGGAUACGGGCAGACUAGAGGUAGGUAGGGGAGAAUGGAAUUCCCGGUGUAGCGGUGAAAUGCGCAGAUAUCAGGAAGAACACCCGUGGCGAAGGCGGUUCUCUGGAACGCAACUGACGCUGAGACGCGAAAGCGUGGGGAGCAAACAGG
Molecule: ribosomal RNA, 253 nt
Filed under: uncultured bacterium
Lineage: Bacteria
Description: partial 16S ribosomal RNA
Rfam family: Bacterial small subunit ribosomal RNA
Source: RNAcentral